GAGCAAAUGAUAACAAGACAACAGGCAUUGCAAUACUGUCAAAAAACCCUGAACUGAAAGUAAAACAAGUGGAGAAAAUAUGUGGAAGAAUGCAAAGGGGUGGGGGGCAGAGACAGAAGAUGGAAAUCCUUAAUGUAUAUGCAUCCUUAAUGUAUAAGCAGUGUGUAUAGCAGGGGGGAGAUCCUGCAUUAUAGUAGGAGACUUUAAUCGCAUAAUUGAAGUAGGGGACAGGACGGGUGAGGGAGGAACUGGUGAAUUAGACAGCUCUUCUAAGCUGUUGAGAAAGCUUAGGAGGGUUUAACAGACACAUGGACAGGACAGAAAGCUUUUACAAGAACAGACCAGAGUGGAAGGAAACAGUCAAAAAUUGGUUUUGUCUUUGUAGCAGCCUCUAAAAAUGGACCCACCUGAGCAGAAGGGGAAGAACUGCCUGGCAGCGAGACAGUUUGUCCCAGAGGGGAUACUGUAGGCUCUGAGGGCAAGUGAAGCUCUUUGGGAGCAGCCCUGUUGGAAGUGGGAGGGGUGAUGUAACCCCAGACAGUUUUGAAAGAGAGACCUUAGCAAAAGCCCGGGAAGGGCCCUGAGCUGGGAUUGGCUGAGAGGCUCAGAUAAAAAGGGGAGCAAGUUUUCCUGCGGGGGGGACAAGAGAGAGGGGCUGAGGGACAGGCUGGAGACCGGAUUGAGUGUCUCAGUGCAGUGGUCCCUCGGAGAGCCCCUGAGAGAGGCCUGCUGGAGCAGAGGGAGAAGCUGCGGGGGCAGGAGCCGGCGGGGACUGCUGGUGUGGAGAACCCAAGUCGGAGAGAGACCUGACUGCAGCCGGUGAGGCUGGGUGAGCACAGCAGAGCCGGGGUGGGGAUUGCUGGAGUCUGCCCUAGUUUCCCUGAGGGGUGAGGGGCCCCAGGGGCAGGCAAAGCCCAGGGAGGGGCUGCAGUUGCUGGGGCUGUGAGGCUGUGUGAGGCAGUAGGAGGGUUGCUAUAGCCUGCAGCCCAGACACUGCUCACAGCAGAACCAGGGAAGGGGGGCAAAGGCAGGGGAAGGCUGUUUUGCAGGGACUGCAGAGGAGCUGCCGCUUGCUGCCCAGAGACCCCAGGAGCACGGAGACGGACACCAGUGCCUGAGAGCUCCCAAAGACCACGUGGAGGGACACAGACAGUCCCGCUCCCUGGGAUAUCCCGCCAGGGGUCGUGCACACGGGAUCCGCAGUACACUGCAUGCAAGUCAAAAAGAAGAAGACUGGCACAGAUGGAACUGUUCAGAAAGAGGGAGGCAGGAAGAUGGGGUGUGCCAGAUGUAUGCCAACUAUUACCGCUUUAUUGGACGUUACCCAAAUAAGUCGCAUCCUCUUUCUACAUACACAUCUCCCUCCACGAAACAAGAAAAAAUACCAUCUCUCAUGUUUUCUUGAAAAAGUCAGGACAGGAGUAAGAAGAAUGUUGCUGCUCAAAGCUUUUACUUUGGCUAUGGUGUGUUCAUAUGGCUCUGGUCAAGUCCUAAAACAAACUGAACCAUCCAUCACCAAGGCAGAAAGUAGAACUAUACGAAUUAAUUGCUACGUGGAUUCAUCAGUCUUUGGCAGAGCUUUUAUACACUGGUAUCGACAGAGGCCUGGUGCAGCUGCAGAAUAGAUACUGUACUUCUCAUCACAACUCUACCUUGACCAGGACUCUGAUAAGAGAAAGUUCAGUGCAGAAAAGGACUUUGAUCUGUCCCGCUGCGUCCUGACAAUAAACAGCAUAACCUCCAGUGACACUGCUACCUAUUACUGUGCCACUUGGACAGGCACAGCAUAAGAAAACCAUUGACAACAUCUACAAUAAAUCCUCUCUACUUUCUGAAAUACCACAGUCUUUUGAAUGUGUGAGAGAGACCUGCCCAAGUUCUGCCACUCAGCCUGGAACCAGCUGCAGAAACUCUGCUGGUUUCUGGAGUAGAUGACAAAAGACAACCGCUAAUGAAAUAUAUAUUUUUCUGAAAAUUACUUAAACUAUCUUAAGAGGUGACCACCCUGAAAGUGAGUUCAGUGGUCUUAUGAUUAUUCACCUCACUUCUCCCUCUCCCUUUGAAGAUCUCACAUCCACCACUCUAAAACUUAAGUGAAGUAAAACAUCAGCAGUUGUCCAAAGAGGCUGCCAUGGGCCGCUGUGGUAUAUAGGUGGAGAUAGCCAAGGACUGAGACAGUCUCAAACAUCUGUCACAAGAGGAGUAAGGAAAACUGCACGAAUUCAGUGCCACGUUUCCAC
Molecule: long non-coding RNA, 2240 nt
Organism: Alligator mississippiensis (American alligator)
Lineage: Eukaryota; Metazoa; Chordata; Crocodylia; Alligatoridae
Exons: 5
Source: RefSeq, a predicted model, not a curated record